CUGUGAACAGUGGCAGACGGCUGUACGGCAGCGGAGGUGCAAUAUUCGUUUUGUGCACCAACAUACCACAAGUCUAAUAAUAAGUGUGCCAGUAGUGGGAAUGAAACGGUUAAAUGUGCAUGUGCGACUGGUGCAAUAAUUGUAUUUGCCCGUCUAUACUCCGUGGUUACGGGCGCUGCAUAUUGUGUACAAUUUAACUAUAACGUACGAUAACAUUAAUUAUUUUCG
This is a non-coding RNA of Cinara cedri, 228 nucleotides long. NCBI's taxonomy places the organism in Eukaryota, Metazoa, Arthropoda, Insecta, Hemiptera, Aphididae. The record is from the annotation of a GenBank genome assembly.